CGAGGCCUCGGGCUGCACAAACCCGCGGGCCGCUCCGCAGCUCCUCGCUGGCUUCCUCCAGCUCCCCCGACACAGCGCUCCCUGGAGUCCACUUGGAUUUCAUGGGCUCCGAAAGCCCCCCGCGCGGCUGCUGGGUGCCGGGAAUCCCGCCGUCCUCCGUGGGCCCAUUCGGUCCCAGGGCCCCCUUCCUCCGCUCCCCUGAGUGGAGUCCGGCUGAGUUCUGUGCCUCUCUCUGCCUUUAACGGCACCUCACGCUCCCAGCGCUGUCCCUGCGGACAAGGGAAGUUCAGUUCUUUACUCUUUAAGGCACGCACUGCCCAGAGUUCUGUGAUACUCCCUGGCUUAUUUCCUGUACAAUUCUACCACUUCACGUCUGCAACUGAGCGACCUCAGACAGGUGUCCCAGUUUCCGAAGUCCAAAGACACUGCCACAAACAUUUGAGGCAUGGUCCCCGGCCCAAGGACAUCUCAGCUGAAAUUCCAACAGCGGGCUCUAUCUACCAUCUCCUCUGUCAGGCUACUUCUGCACUUCCGCGCGAGGAACAGUAUAUACUUCUGCACUUCUGCGCGAGGAACAGUAUGGCCGAAGGCAUCUUUGGUCAUCUCUCUGGACACAAAAGGGACCUCUUGGCCUGAGGCAAUUUGUGGGAAGGAACAGUGCUGCUGGACCCAAUGCUGGCACGGCAGGACCAGCUGCCUUAACACUGCUUACGAAUGGAUUCCCAAUGAGACACGUGAAAGUCAAAGACCAGUCCUAAUUUUUAAAGUGGCUGUGUUUCCAGCUGAUAUUUGGAAUUCCAAAGCAGUUGGCAUUGUGGGGAAGUCAGCCUGGUGGAAACAAGCAAACACACAAAAGAAAGGCAUCUAG
RNAcentral lists this long non-coding RNA (868 nucleotides) under Fukomys damarensis (Damara mole-rat). RNAcentral's name for it is "lncRNA (ENSFDAG00000027248.1)". The record is from RNAcentral. Lineage: Eukaryota; Metazoa; Chordata; Mammalia; Rodentia; Bathyergidae.